UGAUGAACGCAUGCGCAUGGCGCCUGUCAGCCAUUCUGGGCUUGUUGCUGGUGAGCGUGAUGUGAAGUGGCUACCCGGGGAGGGGAGGCAGCUUUGCUUUCCGAGGACGCUGCGCUUUCCCACAAGUGGAACAGAGAGAGGAAGGACUAGCUCCUGGGCUCCGUCUUCCAGGUUCAAGCGAGGCCUUCUCAAGAGCCUGCCCGUCGUCAGGACAGAAGCACAGAGAAAUGAUGACGUCUGGGCUUCUGACAGCCAGGCCCCAGGUGAGCUUAGGUGUCCUUUCCCUUCCUUUGGAUAGGCUGGGCUCAUCCGGGGUCUGUGCACUCAGGGCUGGGAGUUCGCAGAGUCCCGGGAAGGAGCUCUAAGGGAAUAGUCCCUGCUGCAUGCCCGGCUGGAGGGCCCCCUGCCGAGAGGGAAUCCAGGCUGUCUUGAGAGCGUCUGGUGAGGAGGGGCAGUUCCUCCACGCCAUCCCGCGCCCCUUUGGAUGGCCUUAGUCUUUCCUUAGGCUCAGCUGACCCAGUCUUCUCUGUGAGUCCACUCACUGCUCUGACCUCUCCCGUCUGGGGACAAGCAGACGCAGAAGUUUAAUCUGUCUCCUAUGUAUUCAGAUGUCAGAUACUUGGAAAGAACUUUUCUGUCUUCCCCCAAAUAAGCUCUAGGC
RNAcentral lists this long non-coding RNA (661 nucleotides) under Vombatus ursinus (common wombat). RNAcentral describes it as "lncRNA (ENSVURG00010013382.1)". Lineage: Eukaryota; Metazoa; Chordata; Mammalia; Diprotodontia; Vombatidae. The record is from RNAcentral.